GUGUGUGUGUGUGUGUGUGUAAGAGAGGCUUCUCUUUGUUAACCCGACCACGCCUCCGUGCACACAGACGGGUCCAUCAGGAGACGGUUCCGUGUGACAGAACAAGUCCGGCUGAGGCUUGGCCUCAUCCCAGUCUAACAAAAAGAGCUGCUGACUCCGAGCCAGCAGGAAUGGGACGUGACUAAUCGUCUUCUGCCUGAACUGAAGGAAUGGCUCCAAAUUCUGGUGGAAACACCUUAAAUCAGACCAACGAGCUGCAGCAGAUUCAUAACGUCCGUCUGCACCAACGGACCGGGAUGCUGUCGGAUCCGCACUAAAAGGACCUCUCCGGUUGCCACGUCUUCAUUCUCUGAGAAACGCCCUGUGGAGGAGAAGAGCAGUGCUCCCUGUAAUCCUGUUGUGUUCCGAUCAAAGCGCCUCACGGACGUUUCGUUUGGACCAGAGAGUCGUGUCAGCGUGCGAACGAGGCUUCUAUAAACAACAUUCAGAAACACGGCGUUCCAUACGCUCAGCUGAUUAGGAGUCCACCUUCCACCUUCUCCUCCUCAGGACAAACAGAUCUUCCUUCCGUACUUCACAUCCCAAAAAUCACUCUAAGCCAAAAAUCCUCUUCAUAACACCGGAAUGUUCCAACACCAGCUUCAACCCUUUUUUAUCUGAGAAAUCAAGAUCCUGUCAUGCUUCAUGAAAUCUGAUCAGAACCAAACAAUCUGUGACCGUCUAAGGGAGACUUCUUUUAUAUGUGUUUCUAUACAACCCUCCAGGGUUAGACCCAACACACCCUCCACAGCACAAACAGCUGGAAUCUUUAGUCCUGCGUGUUGCGUAACGUCCAGACGUUGGCCCUCAGCUGCACCACUCCAGAACCCAGAACUCCAGCUUCAGUCGUCCUCGUGUUGCCGUCUCUCUGGAGGACAGAGGACGAGCAGAAGAAUGUGAGACAUCUGGAUCUCCGUAGCGACAGACGGAGAUGCAUCAUCCAGCUGCUGCCAGUUCUGCUGGAAAACCACGAUCUGAUUUACAGGAGAACCCGAAUGUUGUGUAAUGCUCCCGAGGUCUUUUCCAUCCUCCUUCCAGUUCUUGGCUUCGUCUGGAGAAGCUAAUUAUCCCCAGGUUCAAAAUGGAAAGAGCUCAUCAGAGUUCAAACUUCUGAGCCAACGUGGAAAAUAUGUCCUAAUCUGCAGUUUCAUGAUGGAGGAGGAGAGGAGCAUCAGGUGGAGGCGUGAGCGAGGGGCGGGGUGGGGAGGUCCACGCAGAGGUGAUGUUGAGAAUUCAACGAAGUUCUCAAAGCUUCUGUGGUCAACUUUGUAUUCAUUAAGCAUCACACACACACACACACCAGUCUAAAUAACCCCAACCCAGCAGAGAUCCCUCCUUCACAGCUUCAUCUACAUCAAGUUUCUGGAUCUGUUGCAAAACUCUGUCAACUAAAACCAGAUCAGAAAACAGAGAAGCUGCUGCUGAAGAUUCACAGAUGAGAUCUGAACGGUGCAGCUGUUGCUGAAGUGCACAAACUCGUCCCGUUUAGUUGAUUUCUAAGAUCCUAAAACUGUUUUUAAAACCAGACAUUUGCUGCGUUUCUCUGCUGAUGAUUCAAUUCAGUUUAUUUCUAAAGCGCCAAAUCAGGACCAGAGUCGUCUCGAGGACCUUCACACAGUAAACACUCCAACACAGGUCAGGUCAAUAAGCCAAUCAGCAACAAGUUUCCUAUAUAAGGAACCCAGCAGGUUGCAUCGAGUCACUGACUAGUGUCAGAGUCUUUACAGCAAUCCUCAUACUAAGCAAGCAUGCAGCGACAGUGGAGAGGAAAACUCCCUUUUAACAGGAAGAAACCUGCAGAGGAUCCUGGCUCAGUAUAAGCAGCCAUCCUCCACGACUCACUGGGGAUGGAGAAGACAGACACACACACACACACACACACACACACACCGCUAGUAGUGUGUCUAUGGUUCCAAUGUGAUUUCUUAGUAAAUAUUCUAUUUGGCGAGAGAUAAACUUUGUUGUAUUUAUCCUAGUGAAUCUAUAAUUAAACGGGUAAACUAGUAGUAGCACAUUCAACGUCAAAGAGAGUAAAAUGUUAUUAUCAGGAGAGGGAGAAUGUUUAAGUGGUUAGCAGCAGUGUGCUAGCCGAUGGCCCCCUCCAUGAGGCCACCACAGCUCAGCAGAACAUCAUUGUAGCUUCUUCUGGGGAGAAAAACACUUAGAGACAAAAUAAAGUUAACAGCUGAAAUAGCAGGAAAUAAUACAGUUAAAGAGCAGACUGUAGAAGAAAGUAGUCGAGUGUGGAAAGUGGUCAGUGUGUCCUCCAGCAGUCUAAGCCUAUAGACUUGUAGAGCUACGAUAAUGAGGGAGUCAGACCUAAGAGACGCAGCUCCACCAUUCACGGACCACGGCUUAAAGAUUUAGAUGUAAAAGGGAAGAAUUUCAAAGUAAAAGUGGUUCACUUUACUGACCUCACUAAUGUCUUUGACUAAACGGAUCAUAGGAUGCUCUCACGUAGGCUCUCUAGCAUCGGUGUCGCCACCACUUACUUUUACUUGUUCAUCAGUUGUGGUUGAAACUACCUCCAGCAGCUAAAGACUGGCAACAUCUGGGAAACAUCACCUAUUCCCAAAGGUGUGCCUCAGGGCCCCCUGCUGGGGGCUACUUUAUUCUGUCUCCGCAUUAAUGACUUGAUCAAUGCAGCUGGUGCUUUUCAGAGCCAUUUGUAUACGGAUGACAUCAUCACAUACUCUGCAGCAUCUAGUUGACUCUUUCUAGGCAGAAAACUAAAAACAUCUCUUUGUAAAGUCCUGUUUCUACUCUGAAGAAACUCUGCCUGACCAGUAGGACUUGUCCUACCGUGGAUAACAGACCACCAACAGGAAACACUCGACUGGUCUCAGACAUGUUGACCUUCACACCGACCUGACGGGAGGCCACAACACUCGUGACCGCUCUGGCAUACAGCAGACAGCCUAAUGCUGGCUCCCGGGGCUCCAGCUGCCUGGGGACAGGAGGAAAUAAACCCCUGCUGUUCAGACAGCAUCUACAACGACUUUUCAUUCCGUAUGAAAGCUUUUCUGGAGCUUUCCUCAUCUGGAAAUCAAAGAAAUCCUAAAGCUGGACAGAAGGAAUGAGCGCAGAGGUUUUUAAGGAGAGAAAAUGGCCCCACAGCUAAAACCAGAUAGAUCUGUGUUCAGCACAUCUACAUUCACUUACAUAAUUUGUUAUCCUUUAACAGAGAAAAGGAGAUAAAAUCCAUCCUGAAUGAGGGAACAACCGGUUUCAGCUGUGAUGGCCCACUCCAUUCAUCCCUCACCUGCCUCUCAGUCUAUCCUUUGCAGGUUUGCGAGGAAGGAGGAGGAGGAAGGCAUUUAAUCAGCCUCCAGCAGCAGUGAGAUCCGCCUCGGCUGCAGCUGCACUGCUAAGUUAUCGGCUGUAUUACUAAUUAAAAUAAUUACAGCCAUAAGUGGCUUGGCAGCAGCACAGACUGUUCACUCAGGACAAUUAUCCCGAGUAAGCUCUUAACUUCUCCCAGAUAGAUCACGGUAAAUCCACCUUAGAGCUUUAGACUGGGCUUGACUUUUCUUCAUGCAGCCUCGACUCGUUUUAGACCGUUAUGAAAUCAGGAGCUUCCUCUGCAGAAGGACCAGUGAAAGCUACCGAUACAACCUUCAAUCGGUUUCCGCUGUGAUGAAAAAAUUAAACAAAUCUCAAUAUCCUUCACCUGGGCUCAAGCCAGAUAACAGAUCAAAUCUCAGGAGCUCAAGGAGGAGUCAACUUCAAAUUCAAAGAUACUCUAUUAAUCCCAGAGAGAAAUUAGAGUUUCCACACACAUAAUUCUGAGAUCAGACAUAUGUAACGUGAUGCAGGAGCUAUUCCACCGAAGGUUAUUUACCCUCCCUCCUCAGAUGUCUCUGUCACAGAACUAAUCUGCAUGAGAUAUUGCUCAAGGUCAUGCAUUUGCUUCUAAACUGUUCCCUUCCAGCUCAAGAGAAGAAUGACGACAAAGAACUCUAUUUUAAUAAAGCUAAUCAAACAAAGUGUUAGUCAAUAAUAAAAUGCGAACCAAUCUGUGAAAUGAAAAUAUUAAUUACUUGAUAUUAUAAUCCUAUAGAAUAUAAUAAGUAAUAUAACUUUAAAUGUUUCCACUAGAGAUUGAUUACACGUAAGGUUAAGCCACAUGACACGUUGCUUUUACUGAUCCAAUCAGAACCUUCCAGGUCUGAUGCGAGGCGUGGUUUUGAUGGUGCUUGGUAAAUCUGUCCCUUUUUGAUUCGACCGUAAAUCAAAACAUCCGAAGUAUGAAACUAUGCCCACGCCAUCUUUAACUUCAGUUCAAAGCGUUCUGGAGAAGUGUCGGAGUGGCCAAUCCGUAACUUCCCUCUUCAGCUGAAAAAAACAGCGAUAAGCUGGAUAAAAUCUGUUGCUGUUCCACCUGCUGCAACGGUUCCUUUCAGAAUAAAAGCUGAAUCAUCUACCCCUUUUUGGGCCUUGCUAGAUGCCAAUAAAACUUUCGUGACCUGGAAGUAUCUCAAAGACAGGACUGGUCGGCAGCCGCGGCUGGGCUACAGGCUUCGGCUCCAGAAAGGUCCAAGCUGGACCUCUACACCUCCUGAUCUAGACAGGGACUUCCGCCAAGGGAACGGCAUCUCAAUGUGUGUUAUAAAUCUUCAAGAACAGCUUAGCGCGAAACAUCAUCUUCACUCCCAACAGAACUUAUCGUUUCUCCGGAUUUGCUGGUUCUGAAAUAUUCACACAUACACCAUUCUCAGUCUUACUUCACCUUAGUUACACCAUACACCUAGUGUUGAAGUUAGUCUAGUUUUAAUUUGUUUAGUAAUAAAUCUUUAAACUUUUAAAACUUGACUCACUCUCAGUUCUUCAAGUUAAUACGAAGUGUUGCUCAAUCCCUGCAAUAAAAAGAUCCAAUAUUCUGAAUAAAUUUACUUAAAGAUCCAUUAAGGUGAUAUUUCACAUUUUAUGGUUUCUAAUUAAAUGUAGGAGUUUCUUCGCUACACAUACAUACAUAGACAUAGACACAUGACAAGAAUGGUGACUGUGGUCAUUCGCAACCCGAGUCGCGCUACCUUAAUAGAGAUCAGAGGGUUUACAUGAGGAUUGAGUCAGGUGGAGGAAAAAAAGGCACUUCAGAGUUACCCUCCACAGGGAGGGCAGCUUUGCUGUGCAAAAAAAAACACCUCAGACAGAAAUGCAACUGACUUCAGACAUCACACAACAUAAGUGUCCACUAGGUGGGGAGGUAGGGUUGGGGACUCUCCUCACAUCAGUGCAUGCAGCCGCGAUAAGCAGCGCUCGUCACCUCCGUUUGGACAGGGGAGGGAGGUAGUUGGGUUAGAAAGCACAGUGACUCCUGGAAACGGUUCCACGGCCUUCACCGGUCGCAGUCCCGCCCAGGCUGGGAUAGGGAGGCAGAGCUGUCAUGGCGACGGCAGCAUUCCACAUUUCUUCUGAGGGGGAGUAAUCACUUCAGCCUCACAGGCUCAGGGGCACCAGAUUCAGAUAAGAACUUGUUUUGGGGCCAGACAGAUAAUUUCCUCUCUGUCUUAAAGUUCUGUUGGUCUCAACCCCUCUCAAUCCAAUAAUGGAAUAAAUUAAUCUAUUCCCAACCGUGCUGUCCUGUCAACUCGCUCCUUGAUCAAAUCAACCUUCUGUGCCAGAGCCUGAAUCUCAGCCAAAGUUCCAAGCUUACGACUCAUCUCGACAAUUAUAUGAGUUUGUACGUUCACAGCGUGGUGUAAUCCAUCCCUGAGAUCCUGGAUUGAGCCAGUAUUCCUCGAAAGCUCAUUAAUUUUCCAGUAAGCCAGGUAACCGCUCAGGCCAAACAGCACAAAACCUGACACCAAACCCACGAAUAUCCAGACGUCUUCAGAAUCCUCUACAGACAGUUGAGAGAGGCAGAUCAGGUUCCACUGUUUCCAGGAGUCCAUGAUAUACCCAGCUGGCUCUGUCCCAGAGGGGCAACCGGGAGCCCCUUCUCCCGUUCUCAUCACUGAAAAAAUCUUGUCAGUCGCGUUGAGAGACCAACUGACCAGGUCCAUUUUUAAUAAUUUCCCGUUUCCAGAAAAAAUGCAGAGACUCCGUACACCCAAAGCCAGACAAAGAGCCGUGGGAUAAGAUAAGGAGGAGAGGAGGACAACUGAGGGUUCCUUCCACUGAAGUCCACUGGUUCGACUUGGUGUUUAGGUUUAUUUAUGUUUAUUUAUUUGGCAGACACUUUUAUCCAAAGCGACGUACAAUUUAUAACCUACAGGGCAUGUUGUGAUCUGUGGGGGAAACCGGAGUACCCGGAGGAAACCCACGCAUGCAUUGGGAGAACACGCAACUCCACACAGAAAGGCCGCAGCCGAGUUUCGAACCUGCAACCUUUGUGCUGUGAGGCAACAGUGCUAACCACUGCACCACCAUGCAGCCUCCAGCAUUGAUUGAUGAUUGAUGAAUCAUCUGUCUGUAAUAGGAGGAUCAGGAUGACUUAGAGAGACACAAAGAUUAAUAUAAGGCACGAUGUGGGUGGAAAACAGGGUUCUAUGAAACUGUGUUGAUGAGAAAAGAGAAAAUUUUAAAAACUUCAGAUGCAGACCCGUUUUAUCGUUAUUGCAGGACACGACGUAUGGUUUAAAAUCUUCAUAUUUAUGGGGGAGAAGUUCCAAAGAGCUGGAGGAGACGACGGCGGUCUAGGCUUCAAUGCGACCUCCACUCCGAUAAAGGCGACAAAACGGGACGGCAAAGCUAACCAGUUCUCCCAUAAGCCCCGCCUUUCCUUAUCAACAAACAAGACACUUUUCUGACUGAAAGUUAACUUCACAUAGGUGUAACCUGGCAGCUGUGUUUGUAAUAAAUGUAGCUAUAAUAAGCUGUUUGAUGCUUAAAGAGACUUUACGGAGGCGCGCAUGCUGUACGUGCACACUCCUUAACAAAAAUAACAGCUGAGACAGACCCGUGUGUGUGUGUGUGUGUGUGUGUGUGUGUGUGUGUGUGUGUGUGUGUGUG
This is a non-coding RNA of Nothobranchius furzeri (turquoise killifish), 6993 nucleotides long. The record is from RefSeq and is a predicted model, not a curated record. Lineage: Eukaryota; Metazoa; Chordata; Actinopteri; Cyprinodontiformes; Nothobranchiidae.